RNAcentral lists this non-coding RNA (117 nucleotides) under Chlorocebus sabaeus (green monkey). Lineage: Eukaryota; Metazoa; Chordata; Mammalia; Primates; Cercopithecidae. The record is from Rfam by way of RNAcentral.
GCUGGGCGUGGUGGCUCACGCCUGUAAUCCCAGCACUUUGGGAGGCUGAGACUGGUGGAUCACUUGAGGUCAGGAGUUGGAGACCAGCCUGGCCAACAUGGUGAAACCCCGUCUCUA